This is a long non-coding RNA of Mustela lutreola (European mink), 4252 nucleotides long. RefSeq lists it as uncharacterized. The record is from RefSeq and is a predicted model, not a curated record. Lineage: Eukaryota; Metazoa; Chordata; Mammalia; Carnivora; Mustelidae. The transcript has 2 exons.
CUCUGACACCGGAAAGGUUCCAGAACAUUAAGGACAGGGGAGAUGUUUGGAGGGAGAAAAAGACCAGUGCACUGUAAGAUUCCCACUUUCCUGACUUCUUUAAGACCCUCCUCAUUUCCAACCUGCUGGCCCAUGAGGCACCUUUGACAGGUCAGAAAAAGGCACCCCUUUCUUCAGACAGCACAGCCCCUGGUUGGGGUGGGGGAAGGUACAGGACCCUGAUUUAAGCUCCCAUCUGCAGCCUUGAUCUGGCACAGUGAACAAUCAUGAAUCAUCAUCGCUAGCGGCUGGAGAAAAGGAUGAGAGAGAGAUUCACUCUCUCUGUAUACUCUUUUGUAUUCUUUGAUUUUUAUAUUCUGUGCUACGUCUGACCUCUUCAAAAAUAAGGGAAUGAAAACAAAACUUUGAAGAGACAGCCAUGAGACCAGCGCUGUGCUGAGAAUGGCAUGCACUGCCUCUUCCCAGUCUCUCAAUGGUAACGGCUUAAUAUUUACCCAUGACUCACUCUGUUCACUGGGGUAGACCAGGGCUUCUCAACCUUGGUAUCAUUGACAUUUUGGGUCUCACUGCUCUUGGCUGUGCGGGCUGUCCUCUGUACUGUAGGAUAUUCAGCAGUACCCACGGCCUCUACCCACUAGAUGCCCGUAGCACACCUACUCCCCGAACCCAAAAAUCUUCUGACAUUGCCAAAUGUCCCCUGUGGGAGUGGGCAUGCAAAAUCACCAGGAUGACCCCACUGGUGUGGACUCAAGCACUAGCCCCCAGUGCUGGCACAAAGGUGAUGCUUAGUGGAUGUUGAAUGAAUGAGAGGCUCCUUCACCGGGACUCUUUCCUGGGCCCCACCUACCACCAGCUCUUGCUUCUGAACAGAGCGUGGCCUUCAGAAAGCUCCAGCCUACACAGUUCUGCUCUAAGCCCGUCUGCAGGCAGCUCAGGCUGGACCCACUGGCUUCGCUGCCCCAUGUGUGAGGGCGUAACCAGCUGGAUCCAGGCAGCUCCCGCUCCUCCCUGGGGCUUCCUUAAGUAAAUGCGGUAUCGACCACCUCUCUCUCCCCCUCUCUGCUCCUUUCAGGGAUUCCACGAGCAGCUCUGAUCCUGCCUUGGCUGUGAAGCCAUUGAUUGGGAUAAAUUAUUGAUGCCACCAAAUGAGAAGGGGUCUGCUGCUAUAGGGAUCGUCACCUUUGCCUCUUGAUUAGAGAAGGCAGGUUCAGGGCAGAAGGCAUCUGGCAAGAGAUGCUUCUAAAACAUGCAUCCCAGCAUUGCACGCAAGCAAAUUUGGGGUGAGGAUGCACCCCAUCUGUGGCAGUCAGACUCAUGGUCCAGCCACUAUUCAUCCAGCCAAUAAACGUGCCUUUUUUUUAGAUUAAGCCAGUUUGAGCUGGGUUUGUGUUGCUCACCCCCAAGGAAGUUCUAUAACUCCUCCCACAUCAUGUGGCCCCCUUCUUCCAGGAAGUCCUCCCUCCCCAAUGUCUAGGCAUGUGGGUGCCACCCAAGAUGGCCAGGAGCUUUAGUGGAAUCCACUUGUCUCUCGUGGAUCAUUAUCAUUGUUAAGGAUGCCCAGGAGGUGUCUAGGAUGAUCAGGAGGGCUCCUCACAGCCCCACAGGAUGAAGUGGAGCCUGGCUCAUCUAGGAUUUCUGGGGAGAUUCAGAAUUGCCCUCUAGAGUUUUCUACUGCUGCCACAGUGACAAUGACAAUAACUAACUCACGGUGCUCACCACACUGCAGGCAUACCUUCACGCACGGCACACAUACGAAUGCCUUAUAAUCUGCAUAAUGACGCUGCGAGCCUGGUACUACUACUAUCUCUGUGGAGGUCAGCUGGCUUGUUGGAGGUCACAGAGCUAGAAAGUGGUGGAGUGAAGCGGCAAACAAUUGUACUCUUGUUACUUGGGCUCUUACUACACACCAGGGCUCUAGAAAUGUCACCUGGUGAGUGAACCCUUGCUGGCCAGUCUCUUGCUGCCCCCCCCCCCAUUAUACUCUACACCAGUCCUGAUUUUGUCUUUGUAGCAUAUGCCACAAUUUUCCAAAUAUUUUAUUACCUUUGGGUCCACUCCCUGCUCUCCCGUGUCCAGGACUGUGUCUGUCUCGUUCUGCACUGAUCUGCUAGCACCUGCCGCAUGGUUCGACAGCCCAGCUGCCGAACCAAUGAAUCGGUAAGAGUAGUUUCAACCCUCAUGUUACUCCUGAAGGACAGGUGUUCUCAUUGCUCUCUUACAGAGGAAAGAACUGAUGGCCUGAAAGGUUCAAGUCCAAGUCAAAUCAAGCCAAGUCCAUCCUCAGAUGGCCAACAGCAGCAGGGUCACCAGGGAGCUCCCUGGAAAUGCAGACCCUUGGUGGGGUUGGGCCUAGCCCCCUCCAUUUUAACAAGCCCGCCAGGCAAGCUCCAAAUGUGCUCAGACCCUUGGGCACACAGAAGUGUGAGAAGCUUGGACCCAUGCAGCCGGGGAAGCCAGGAGCCAUGGCCCCAGUACGCUCUGCCUCGCCAACUCUGCCAGGGACCAAGCAGGUGGCUCCCACUUGUCAGAGGGGCCAGAAGCCUCCGGCAGGUGGUGAAGCAGCACGCUCCAUUUCUCCACGAGCUAGGGCCUGCAGAGGCUGGAAAGAAUGCAGGUAAGAUUCCUGGUGAGAGGACAGUGCUGCCUGCCUGAAGGCCACGGGCUGGGCUAGCCCUCCCAGCCCAGCUCCUUACCGAGCAGGGCGAACUUCCGAGAGAGAUCUUCUGGUUUCAAGUUCUGCCCCUGCCACCUGCUAGUACCCUGUGACCCUGGACAAACGGAUUUAACCUUUCUUGCCUCAGGUUCCUCCUCUGCAAACUAGGGGUGUGUUCACGGUACCCAUCCUGUAGGAUUGUUGUGCUUAAAAUAAUGAGGUUUUAGGACAGUAGUUGACACAGGGUAAGCACUUACAUAAACUAUCUGUUAAAUAAAUAGAAAUGAUUGGCAACUAUUCCCUCGUCAGAGGUUAUGAACUUUGCUGACUGCUUCUCCAGGAGGAGCAGUUGCCAUGGAGAUGGGGUGCGAAGGGGGCUCACCCAGGUGUUUGUCCGCUAUUGGUUUUCAGCCUCCCCCAUCACGCCAGGCGAAGAGGAUCCCUGAGGUGGUGUGAAUGGGAGAUGCCUUUGGUGGGAGUCUGCCCUGGGAACCUCUAAACUCACCCGAUCCCCAAACCAGGAGCUCUAAGUGGAGGCCUCACUGUGAAGGUGGUUUUCCCAUGGGAAACCCAGGCCAAUCUAGGAGCCCUCACACACACACACACACACACACACACACACACACACACACACACGGUCUUCCGGUCAAGAAGUCAGGGUGAGGACCCCCAGAGAUCAGACACUGGCCAUUCUCUUGGGAACUAGCGUCCCCAUCUACCCACUACCCACAUGAUAUGGGAAGGGGGAUGCUAGAACAUGGAAGGGAAAGAAAAAAAUGAGCAGGCGGGGAGGGGGCUUCCUACGUCUGGGCAUAGUCAAUAGUUUGGUACAGAUGAAUGCCUGGCACAGAAUUUAUACACUUUCAUCAGUCUCCUCUAGAGUGACGCCAGACCUAACUAUGGGACAUGGGGCAUUACUUAACCUCUCUGACCCUCAGUCUCUUCCUCUAUAAAAGACAAAGAUAGCGCCGCCUUCACAAAGCCAGUGAGAAAAGUACAUGAAAAAUAAUCUCUGCAAGGUGCUUGUCCCCCAGGGAAUACAGGAUCCCUGCUUAUUAAAAAGACAAUCAUGAUUCCAUCGUCUUUCCUCUCGGGAAAAUGAGAGGUGGGACCCCUUUGCCAGAGGCUUACUGGAAUUCACAGGCCAAGCUGGGACUAGAACUCAUUUCCCCCAACUCCUGACCCCAGGCCUUUCCACUGCAUCUCUGGUUUGAGGCCUCACCCGUGACUGGCAGAAGGCCAGGAUGAGGCUGUGGAGCCGGUCUCCCCACACACUCCAGCAUCACACUCUGUCCCAGCCCACUCCCCUUAGAGCCAAUGGUGCAUUUCCUGCUCUGCAAGAUUAAACUGUUACAAGGUUUCCUGACAUUAAGCUCUUUCCCAGACCCACAAUCUCACCCUCUAAUACCUUUUCCAAGUUACACCAUCUCAUAAUCUUCAUUUCCUAAUGCUGCCCAGACCACCAGCCUAUUUGGGGGCCCUUGAAUUUAAUAACCCUCCUGGGUUAGUAAACAGGGUUGCCAGAACACAAGCUCCAUGAUCCAUGAAUAUGCAAAGCAGCUCGAAUCCUGUAAAUAAAAGCAAUCAUUUAAAUGCAAA